This 397-nucleotide ribosomal RNA is filed under the name uncultured bacterium. RNAcentral describes it as "partial 16S ribosomal RNA". It matches the Rfam family "Bacterial small subunit ribosomal RNA", at positions 523 to 918 of the family's 1533-position model. The record is from RNAcentral.
AUACGUAGGGGGCGAGCGUUGUCCGGAAUGAUUGGGCGUAAAGGGCGCGUAGGCGGCGCGGUAAGUCUGGAGUGAAAGUCCUGCUUUCAAGGUGGGAAUUGCUUUGGAUACUGCCGCGCUUGAGUGCAGGAGAGGUUAUCGGAAUUCCCGGUGGAGCGGUGAAAUGCGUAGAGAUCGGGAGGAACACCAGUGGCGAAGGCGGGUAACUGGACUGCAACUGACGCUGAGGCGCGAAAGUGUGGGGAGCAAACAGGAUUAGAUACCCUGGUAGUCCACACUGUAAACGAUGAAUGCUAGGUGUAAGAGGUAUCGACCCCUUUUGUGCCGGAGUCAACACAAUAAGCAUUCCGCCUGGGGAGUACGGCCGCAAGGUUGAAACUCAAAUGAAUUGACGGGG